AUCUUUGCACUUGGAGCAAUGACGCGGCUAGUGAGAUUUCAAGAGACGUGUUAAUUGUUGGUUGAAAACUAUUUCAAAACCCCCUCUUUGGCUCUCAUUGGUCAUUGAGAAUUUUUGGAAGGGUUCCAAACU
Triticum aestivum (bread wheat) is the source of this 132-nucleotide non-coding RNA. Lineage: Eukaryota; Viridiplantae; Streptophyta; Magnoliopsida; Poales; Poaceae. The record is from Rfam.